GACGAACCGAGCGAACGUUGUUCGGAAUCACUGGGCUUAAAGGGCGCGUAGGCGGGCGGUCAAGUCGAGGGUGAAAGCCCCCAGCUCAACUGGGGAAGUGCCUCCGAUACUGGCCGUCUCGAGGGGGAUAGGGCGUGCGGAACUUCCGGUGGAGCGGUGAAAUGCGUAGAUAUCGGAAGGAACAUCGGUGGCGAAAGCGGCGCGCUGGAUCCCGUUCUGACGCUGAGGCGCGAAAGCCAG
Molecule: ribosomal RNA, 240 nt
Filed under: uncultured bacterium
Lineage: Bacteria
Description: partial 16S ribosomal RNA
Rfam family: Bacterial small subunit ribosomal RNA
Source: RNAcentral